RNAcentral lists this ribosomal RNA (497 nucleotides) under uncultured bacterium. RNAcentral describes it as "partial 16S ribosomal RNA". It matches the Rfam family "Bacterial small subunit ribosomal RNA", at positions 28 to 507 of the family's 1533-position model. The record is from RNAcentral.
GAUGAACGCUGGCGGCGUGCCUAAUACAUGCAAGUCGAGCGAACAGACGAGGAGCUUGCUCCUCUGACGUUAGCGGCGGACGGGUGAGUAACACGUGGAUAACCUACCUAUAAGACUGGGAUAACUUCGGGAAACCGGAGCUAAUACCGGAUAAUAUAUUGAACCGCAUGGUUCAAUAGUGAAAGACGGUUUUGCUGUCACUUAUAGAUGAAUCCGCGCCGCAUUAGCUAGUUGGUAAGGUGACGGCUUACCAAGGCGACGAUGCGUAGCCGACCUGAGAGGGUGAUCGGCCACACUGGAACUGAGACACGGUCCAGACUCCUACGGGAGGCAGCAGUAGGGAAUCUUCCGCAAUGGGCGAAAGCCUGACGGAGCAACGCCGCGUGAGUGAUGAAGGUCUUCGGAUCGUAAAACUCUGUUAUUAGGGAAGAACAAAUGUGUAAGUAACUAUGCACGUCUUGACGGUACCUAAUCAGAAAGCCACGGCUAACUACGUG